Long non-coding RNA from Bos taurus (domestic cattle), 1188 nucleotides. NCBI's taxonomy places the organism in Eukaryota, Metazoa, Chordata, Mammalia, Artiodactyla, Bovidae. The record is from Ensembl.
GCACUAUAGACAUAUAAAGCAGCAUAAGACAUCUGUUGCUUGCUCUCUAAGAACUAUAGGUAGGCAGGGGACUUCCCUGUUGGUCUAGUGAAAACUGCGUUUCCAGAGCAGGGGGCAUGGGUUCAAUCCCUGGUGAGGGAACUAAGAUCCUGCAUGCUAACAAGGGAUAAGUGGGGAAAAAAAGGAGAAAUGGCAUAUUGCAGAUUCCACCCAAGUUAGUGGCAGAUCCAGGUUAGGAACUCAGGACUCCAGAGUCCUAAACUGGGUGCUAUAACAAAACCAGAAAGAAUAUAAACUGUGCUCCUCCAUGCUCUCCAUGCUUCCCAUUACAGACUAGGUGAGAAUAUGAUGGUCACAAAUGAAACAACUUCAGCAAACACUGUAUCAAUAAGCACAAAAUAUGCUACAAAUCAUGUCCCUUAGUGCCAAAGGAGGGUGCUAUAAGUGACCUGUGGGGGUUUUUUUCUAAGAAUUUUUUCUGGUGAUAGCAUAUUCAUUUACAUAUUUUUCCUAGAUCCUGUAAGGAAUUCAUAAGACUUAAAGAAAACUUGGAAAACACAGAAAAGUAGAAAGAAAAAGAAGACUGCUUUUGAGGUCCCAUCACCAAACAGAAUCACUAAUUAUUAUUUUGGAAUACUUCCAUCCAGUCUUUUUUUUCACUAGGCAUAGACAUUUUAAGUUAAUAAGUAAACAUGUAAUUUUAAUAUACAAAAUAUGCAAAAAAUUCAAAAUUCAAGAGGUUAAAAAAAAUCAGUCCUUUUCUAUCGUUUUACCCAUCUUCAGCCACACAGUUUCCCUCCCAUGAGCCAUUCUAUUCAUAGAUUUCUGUUUCCAAGUUUAUAAGAAGUUUAUUUAUUUGUAUACUGCAUCUCCAUGAGUAUGGAAUCACUAAUCAUGGCAAUGCCAUACUAGUUAUAUACUGCAUUUGGUGAAGUAAUCUUUAAAACUGGGACUUUAAUAUUUUAUCAUAGAAUCGUGGAAUUAUAGGGUUGGAAAUUACUUAAGAGAAUCAUUCAUUCAACUUCCUGAGAAAAUUAAAUAAAUAAACUCUUAAGAGUUCAGAGUUAGAAGAGCCAAGAUUAUCAUGUAGAUUUUCUGAAUUUCCUGUUAGUGAUCCCUCCAAUACAACAUAUUCCAGCACAUCCACUCAAAAUAUUGCAAGUAAACAUCGUAAUGCUUACGACAAGC